This 301-nucleotide ribosomal RNA is filed under the name uncultured bacterium. Its description in RNAcentral is "bacterial SSU rRNA". It matches the Rfam family "Bacterial small subunit ribosomal RNA", at positions 331 to 631 of the family's 1533-position model. The record is from RNAcentral.
UCCAACCUACGGGGGGCAGCAGUGAGGAAUAUUGGUCAAUGGCCGGAAGGCUGAACCAGCCAAGCCGCGUGAAGGACGAAGGUGCCAGGCAUUGUAAACUUCUUUUGUCAAGGGACAAAAUCAGGCUCGAGAGCCUGACCGAGGGUACUUGAAGAAGAAGCCCCGGCUAACUACGUGCCAGCAGCCGCGGUAAUACGUAGGGGGCAAGCGUUAUCCGGAUUUACUGGGUGUAAAGGGGGCGCAGACGGCGAUGCAAGCCAGGAGUGAAAGCCCGGGGCCCAACCACGGGACUGCUCUUGGA